AUGGCGCCGCCGUUCGCCGUCGCCGCAGUUUCCUCCUCAUCCCCUCUCUUCUCCUCCUCGUCAUCCCGCCCCAUCCUCCGCGGCCACCCGCCGCUGGGUUAUAUCUCCGUGCGGCCACGGCACCGCUCGGCUGUGGCCUCCGCCGCGGCGACCGAGUCCGCUGGAAAGCUCCUUCUCGAGGUACACGGGCUUACCGCCUCCGUCAAGGAGACUGGGCAGCAGAUCCUAAAAGGCGUCGACCUCACCAUCCGCGAGGGCGAGGUUCAUGCGAUCAUGGGGAAGAACGGCUCCGGCAAGAGCACCCUCACAAAGGUUCUUGUUGGCCAUCCACACUACGAGGUAACUGGUGGUACCAUUCUCUUCAAGGGUGAGAACUUAAUUGACAUGGAGCCAGAGGAAAGAUCUCUUGCAGGCCUCUUUAUGAGCUUCCAAGCGCCUAUUGAAAUUCCUGGAGUGAGCAAUUAUGAUUUUCUGCUCAUGGCAAUAAAUGCUCGCAGAGAGAAGGACGGUCUCCCAGCUUUGGGACCUCUUGAGUUCUAUUCUGUUGUAUCACAAAAAGUCGAGGCCUUAAAGAUGGAGCCAAAGAUCCUUGAUCGUAAUGUAAACGAAGGAUUUAGUGGUGGAGAAAGAAAGCGCAAUGAGAUACUGCAACUUUCUGUCCUUGGGGCUGAUUUAGCCCUCCUCGAUGAAAUCGAUUCUGGAUUAGAUGUUGAUGCACUUGAAGAUGUAGCUCAUGCAGUGAAUGGGCUCUUGACUCCCCAAAACUCCGUCCUGAUGAUUACACAUUACCAACGUCUUUUGGAUCUUAUUAAGCCUAGCUAUGUUCACAUCAUGGAAAGUGGCAAGAUAGUGAAGACAGGUGACAGCUCUCUAGCCAGCCACAUCAACGAGGGUGGCUACAAAUCAAUUGCUUAUUUUGUAUAGCAUGAAUAAGGUCAAAUGCUUGAAUUCCCAGCCACUAGUCUAUAUGUCUGAACAAACUGGUGACUAGUUGGGUUCUAUAUAUUCUUAUGCCCGGUGAAACUGGCAUGGAGCCUGGAAGUAAAACAUGCUAACUUAUGUGAAAUUGUAGAGCUAGUGCCCAUUUGGCCAGGCAUAUCCUUUUGGAGGUGGAGCACUGGAGUUCUGAAUUGCCCUCGGCCAUAUUUCUCUUUCUUGUCCUGUAAGAUUUGUUGGAUUCCAAUAUUAAUACAUUUAUACAUGCAGGGCGAUACGUACUGCUGUUCUCUGACUCUGCACUUAUCUUCUUGUUUCUGAACUGUUGUAACUUUGGACAUUGACAAAAACAGGAUGUCUCGUGACCCAUCCCCAGCCCAGCCCCUCCACGAUCCCCUCCCGGCGCCGGCCACCGUGGCCACGCCGGCCACCAUCACCCCGGGUCCUUGCCUGCUGCCGCCCCCUCCGGCUCGCUUGCCGCUGGACUUCAUCCCGCAGGUGGUCCCUGCAGGUGCGUCGUCGUUGCCGGUGCAUGUUGAUGCCAGAUCUAGGUCGCCGAUCCGGUCGCCGUCGUCCCAUGACCGGUCCCUGCGCAAUGCGCCGGUGGAGAUGGUGCCGGAGACGCCGCCGGAGCUCCAGGGCGUCCAGCCGCGGGUCGCAUCCAUCAUCAUCGUCCCGUCGCCUCAACUCCUCGGCGCCUCGUCCUCUUCCUGCAGCGGCUCUCCAGCGGAUGCGGGGCGUGACGCAGAUGCGUCUGGCGAGGGAUGGCAGCUCGUGUGCUCCCGGCGUGGCCCGCGCCUCCCGCCUCCUCCUGCACCGGCCUCUGCUUGACGCCCCCCUUCCUGCCUGGCUGCACGGGAGAUGCUGCUGCUGCCUCGCCCCGGGUCACCGUGCUUUGGUUUGCCGGGAUCCCUUCAGGUGCUCUCGCUGCCUCCAGCCCGGCCACCGUGCUCGCGGAUGUACCAAUGCGUGGCGCCCGCUCGGCUCCCUGAAGAUCCUGCGGCGGCCUGCUACAGCUCCCCCUGUGGCUCCCCGGCCACCGACUCAUGGUUGGCCUGCUCCUCCGCAAGCUGAAAUGCCCACCUCGUCAGCAUGGCCUCAACUCGGAGGUGCUGUCCUGCGGAGGGAAGGUCUUGCUGCUACGGAUAUGCUGCACCAAACACCAACCAGCUCUGGUCAUGUGGCGACAGUUUGGCUUGCCGGGGCGCAGUCAGAUGCCUCUUGCAAGGCCGUGGCAGAGGCCCUUGCGUCCGCGAUCGGCGCCAACGUCGUGGAUAUCAGGGCCAUCCGCCAAUUUGUGGAUGCCACCGUCGAUCGUCAAUCUCCGUCCAGGACUAUGCUCCCCUCGCCGUCUUCAUCUGCAUCACGGCCCCCAGGAUUUGAAGCUUCUCCGGUGACGAGCUCUGCCCCACAGACGCCGCCCUUCAUUACCGAUGCUUGCCGCACACCUUGCAGUACAGCGACUGAUGAUGUUUGUUCCCCUACUACCGAGACGGUCGCUGUCUCCGCUACGCCGCCCCAGACUCCUGGUCCAGCACCUACUCUGCAUGUCACCCCUACAAGUCAGGUGAUGGUUCAUGAAGAGCAGGAACUGCCGGCUGGGUUUGACACCCUGUUUCAGCCGCGUCAGGAGGCCAUCUUGGGCUCCCCUCCAACACUGCAAGGGAAACAACCAGGACGACGUAGAAAGACCAUGGCUGGGAUGUCCAUUGACCAGGAAGGGGCUGCUUUCUGUCACGACCGGUUUUCCGGGUAA
RNAcentral lists this ribosomal RNA (2692 nucleotides) under Triticum aestivum (bread wheat). RNAcentral's name for it is "partial small subunit ribosomal RNA". Lineage: Eukaryota; Viridiplantae; Streptophyta; Magnoliopsida; Poales; Poaceae. The record is from RNAcentral.